GAACGCGAAGAACCUUACCAGGUCUUGACAUCCCGAUGCUAUUUCUAGAGAUAGAAAGUUACUUCGGUACAUCGGUGACAGGUGGUGCAUGGUUGUCGUCAGCUCGUGUCGUGAGAUGUUGGGUUAAGUCCCGCAACGAGCGCAACCCCUAUUGUUAGUUGCCAUCAUUUAGUUGGGCACUCUAGCGAGACUGCCGGUAAUAAACCGGAGGAAGGUGGGGAUGACGUCAAAUCAUCAUGCCCCUUAUGACCUGGCUACACACGUGCUACAAUGGCUGGUACAACGAGUCGCAAGCCGGUGACGGCGAGCUAAUCUCUUAAAGCCAGUCUCAGUUCGGAUUGUAGGCUGCAACUCGCCUACAUGAAGUCGGAAUCGCUAGUAAUCGCGGAUCAGCACGCCGCGGUGAAUACGUUCCCGGGUCUUGUACACACC
RNAcentral lists this ribosomal RNA (432 nucleotides) under uncultured bacterium. Its description in RNAcentral is "bacterial SSU rRNA". It matches the Rfam family "Bacterial small subunit ribosomal RNA", at positions 957 to 1391 of the family's 1533-position model. The record is from RNAcentral.